AUUGAACGCUGGCGGCAGGCCUAACACAUGCAAGUCGAGCGGAUGAAGGGAGCUUGCUCCUGGAUUCAGCGGCGGACGGGUGAGUAAUGCCUAGGAAUCUGCCUGGUAGUGGGGGAUAACGUCCUGAUACGGGCGCUAAUACCGCAUACGUCCUGAGGGAGAAAUUGGGGGAUCUUCGGACCUCACGCUAUCAGAUGAGCAUAGGUCGGAUUAGCUAGUUGGUGGGGUAAAGGCCUACCAAGGCGACGAUCCGUAACUGGUCUGAGAGGAUGAUCAGCCACACUGGAACUGAGACACGGUCCAGACUCCUACGGGAGGCAGCAGUGGGGAAUAUUGGACGAUGGGCGAAAGCCUGAUCCAGCCAUGCCGCGUGUGUGAAGAAGGUCUUCGGAUUGUAAAGCACUUUAAGUUGGGAGGAAGGGAAGUAAGUUAAUACCUUGCUGUUUUGACGGUACCAACAGAAUAAGCACCGGCUAACUUCGUG
This 484-nucleotide ribosomal RNA is filed under the name uncultured bacterium. Its description in RNAcentral is "partial 16S ribosomal RNA". It matches the Rfam family "Bacterial small subunit ribosomal RNA", at positions 30 to 507 of the family's 1533-position model. The record is from RNAcentral.